CUGACCAGCACAAACUCAGCCUUUAGGCUGUAGGUUUAAACCAGCUGCAGAAGAUCCCGCAAGCCAACAGCAAUUCCAACUGGAACACACUUAUGUCACUAUGAGAUCUGACAAGGAGCUAGAAAUCUCCUCUCAACUACUCCCUAAAUACCUCCUCCCUCUCUGGAACAAUGCACAUGACAAACAGAGCGAACACACACGUUCUGUCAAGUAUAAGCAUCACACCUGGAGCCUCUAGACUUGCGGUACAGUUGUGUACACACCCAGGUCCCCUGCAGCACUGUACCAUUCCACUGCAGAGACCAUCUGCACAUCCUCGGGGCGAGAGGUGAAGAGAGCCCCGGUCUGGGUGUGAGGAGAACUGCCUUUGUACCCCAGCUUGACCGGAGGACUCCGGAUACCUGUUUUCACUACCCCGGACCUGGGUGCCUCAUCUGAAAGCGAGAAUCAUACCCAGUGACCUGAGGUAUACCUGAGAAAUCCGGCUGGAAUGGGGCUGCCCCCCAGAAAUUGGCUCGUAGGCAGCCCACGUAUCAUCACUGUCUGCCUGAAAUGCCACAGAAGCCACUGGAGAGGACUCAGGACCUCGGGAUCGUGCCGGGCAGGGUAUCUGAGGAGAAAGAUGAUGAGCCUGGGGUCGAGGAGAAGCGCUUGAUCCUCAGUUUGCUUAACGGAAACAGUCUCUGCAGCCACCGUUAAGUUCUGAACAACACUCAAAGUUCCUGACAACACCCUUGAACGUAUGCUAUUUUUACAGGGCCAUCUAAAA
Molecule: long non-coding RNA, 769 nt
Organism: Fukomys damarensis (Damara mole-rat)
Lineage: Eukaryota; Metazoa; Chordata; Mammalia; Rodentia; Bathyergidae
Exons: 3
Source: RefSeq, a predicted model, not a curated record